This 273-nucleotide ribosomal RNA is filed under the name uncultured bacterium. RNAcentral's name for it is "partial small subunit ribosomal RNA". It matches the Rfam family "Bacterial small subunit ribosomal RNA", at positions 26 to 285 of the family's 1533-position model. The record is from RNAcentral.
AGAAUCAACGCUGGCGGCGUGCCUAACACAUGCAAGUCGAGCGCGAAAGGGGAGCAAUCCCCAAGUAGAGCGGCGAACGGGUGAGUAACGCGUGGGUAAUCUACCUCCGAGUGGGGAAUAACAGCGGGAAACUGCUGCUAAUACCGCAUGACAUCGUCGAGCCUUCGGGCCUGACGAUCAAAGCCGGGGACCGCAAGGCCUGGCGCUUGGAGAGGAGCCCGCGUCCGAUUAGCUAGUUGGCGGGGUAAUGGCCCACCAAGGCUCCGAUCGGUA